AAUCAACGCUGGCGGCGUGCCUCAGACAUGCAAGUCGAACGCGAAAGUCUCCUUCGGGGGACAAGUAGAGUGGCGCACGGGUGAGUAACACGUAGGUAAUCUACCUUCGGAUGGGGAAGUAACAACCGGAAACGGUUGCUAAUACCGCAUAAUGCAGCGGCACCUAAUGGUGACAGUUGUUAAAGCGGGGGAUCGUAAGACCUCGCGUCUGAAGAGGAGCCUGCGGCGGAUUAGCAGUUGGUAAGGUAAUGGCUUACCAAGGCUACGAUCCGUAACCGGCCUGAGAGGGCGGUCGGUCACACUGACACUGACAUACGGGUCAGACUCCUACGGGAGGCAGCAGUCGGGAAUUUUGGGCAAUGGGCGAAAGCCUGACCCAGCAACGCCGCGUGAA
RNAcentral lists this ribosomal RNA (394 nucleotides) under uncultured bacterium. Its description in RNAcentral is "bacterial SSU rRNA". It matches the Rfam family "Bacterial small subunit ribosomal RNA", at positions 32 to 405 of the family's 1533-position model. The record is from RNAcentral.